UAUAAGUGUAGCCACGAACUUUCGUAUUCAACUUUAAUCGUCCGUUUUAUUUAAAAAUUUUUUAUGAUUAGUAUUUUUAUCGUUAUUAGAUGAUAAAAUAUAAAUAGUACUUUAUGCGUGAUUUAUGUUUUUAAAGUUUUUCAAAAGUUUUUAAAUAAAACGGACGAUUAAAGUUGGACACGGAAAGCCAUGGUUGAAUUGUAA
Oryza barthii is the source of this 204-nucleotide non-coding RNA. Lineage: Eukaryota; Viridiplantae; Streptophyta; Magnoliopsida; Poales; Poaceae. The record is from Rfam.